Molecule: ribosomal RNA, 648 nt
Filed under: Triticum aestivum (bread wheat)
Lineage: Eukaryota; Viridiplantae; Streptophyta; Magnoliopsida; Poales; Poaceae
Description: partial small subunit ribosomal RNA
Source: RNAcentral
AUGAUUGUUGAAUUUGAUCCAAUAAUGCAAGAACAUCUUAGAUGAAUUCAAAAUGAUGAAAUUUAUCAUCACUAUCUCAGCCACAAAAUCCAGAACGAGUUGAUUUCUCUACUGGCCUCUAGUGUUACUAGCUCUAUCUUACAAAUUAUUAAAGAGGCUAAAUAUUUCUCCAUAAUUCUUGAUUGUACUCCAGAUGUUAGCCAUCAAGAACAAAUGACCCUAAUUAUUCGAUGUGUUAACAUGUCAAAUAAGAAAAUAAAAAUAGAAGAUUUUUUUAUGGAAUUUUGGACAGUGGAUGACACUUCUGAUUUGGGUCUUCUUAAUGUACUUCUUGAUGCAGUAGAGUCUUAUGGCUUAAAUAUUGAUAAUGUAAGGGGCCAAGGGUACGAUAAUGGUUCCAACAUGAAAGGAAAUAAACAAGGGAUACAAAGUCGUUUACUUGAAAGAAAUCCAAGAGCUCUAUAUAUGCCAUGUGCGUGUCAUAGACUCAAUCUUACUUUGUGUGAUAUGGCAAGUUCUUGCAGUAAAGCUAUAUCCUUCUUUGGAAUUGUGCAACGAAUUUAUGUUUUAUUUUCAAGUUCCACAAAAAGAUGGAAAGUUUUACUUUACCAUAUUCCUAGUUUAACUGUGAAAGGUUUGUCUAAUACU